ACGUAGGGGGCGAGCGUUAUCCGGAAUUAUUGGGCGUAAAGAGUGCGUAGGUGGUAACUUAAGCGCGGGGUUUAAGGCAAUGGCUUAACCAUUGUUCGCCCUGCGAACUGGGAUACUUGAGUGCAGGAGAGGAAAGCGGAAUUCCUAGUGUAGCGGUGAAAUGCGUAGAUAUUAGGAGGAACACCAGUGGCGAAGGCGGCUUUCUGGACUGAAACUGACACUGAGGCACGAAAGUGUGGGGAGCAAACAG
This 250-nucleotide ribosomal RNA is filed under the name uncultured bacterium. Its description in RNAcentral is "partial 16S ribosomal RNA". It matches the Rfam family "Bacterial small subunit ribosomal RNA", at positions 525 to 775 of the family's 1533-position model. The record is from RNAcentral.